This 433-nucleotide ribosomal RNA is filed under the name uncultured bacterium. RNAcentral's name for it is "partial 16S ribosomal RNA". It matches the Rfam family "Bacterial small subunit ribosomal RNA", at positions 29 to 507 of the family's 1533-position model. The record is from RNAcentral.
AACGAACGCUGGCGGCAUGCCUAACACAUGCAAGUCGAACGAGAACUUCGGGUCUAGUGGCGCACGGGUGCGUAACGCGUGAGAACCUGCCCUUAGGUUCGGAAUAACUCCCCGAAAGGGGUGCUAAUACCGGAUAAUGUCUUCGGACCAAAGCUUUAUCGCCUCUGGAUGGGCCCGCGUUGGAUUAGCUGGUUGGUAGGGUAAAAGCCUACCAAGGCGACGAUACAUAGCUGGUCUGAGAGGAUGAUCAGCCACACUGGGACUGAGACACGGCCCAGACUCCUACGGGAGGCAGCAGUGGGGAAUAUUGGACAAUGGGCGAGAGCCUGAGCCAGCAAUGCCGCGUAAGUGAUGAAGGCCUGAGGGUUGUAAAGCUCUUUUACCCGGGAUGAUAAUGACGGUACCGGGAGAAUAAGCUCCGGCUAACUCCGUG